CAAAACGUAGCUUAACUAAAGCACCACGCUUACACCGAGGUUAUGUCUGCUAAACUCAGAUCGCUUUGA
This 69-nucleotide transfer RNA is filed under the name Scinax pedromedinae (Henle's snouted treefrog). RNAcentral describes it as "tRNA-Val". It matches the Rfam family "tRNA". From Rfam's summary of the family: Transfer RNA (tRNA) molecules are approximately 80 nucleotides in length. Their secondary structure includes four short double-helical elements and three loops (D, anti-codon, and T loops). Lineage: Eukaryota; Metazoa; Chordata; Amphibia; Anura; Hylidae. The record is from RNAcentral.